This 221-nucleotide unclassified non-coding RNA is filed under the name uncultured fungus. RNAcentral's name for it is "sequence contains ITS1". Lineage: Eukaryota; Fungi. The record is from RNAcentral.
GUAUUGAUUGCGUGUGACCGCAAAGAUAACAUUCUACACUGUAUCAAGUUUUGUGUGAAAACGUGAGCUCCUUUUGCAAAAGAAGACCCACGCGGUGAUGCACAAAGGGGUGAGAUGGAUGUGUGAGGGCACUCGGGCGUGCACAACCUUUGAAAGGUCAGCGACAGCCCUCGCACCCCCGUUGUAUGAUAAUGAUCCUUCCGCAGGUUCACCUACGGAAA